RNAcentral lists this microRNA (22 nucleotides) under Monodelphis domestica (gray short-tailed opossum). RNAcentral describes it as "mdo-miR-7301-5p". The record is from miRBase by way of RNAcentral. Lineage: Eukaryota; Metazoa; Chordata; Mammalia; Didelphimorphia; Didelphidae.
UUCCUAAUCCCCCUGCAUGUUU